UCGGGAAUGCUCCGGCCCCCUGCCGCCGUCUCCCGGCCCGGUUCUCUUUCACUAAAAAUAGGCGAUUCUGGCAGCGCCCCUCCUAUGGGGCCUUGGGGGCAAUUGGGGUUUUGUCUUAGAGCCCGUGUGGACCCGGAUGGCGACGGCAGCCCGAGGAGAGGGAGGGCUGACUGUAUGGUUGGCUUUCCGACGACCAGACCCUGCAGGAUUCGGCCUUUCCCUUUGGAGUUUUCCUCCAUCCCCCUCCGUCCCUCCCAGGGGAUGCCCGCAGGCCACAGUGGUCACUGAAGGUCAACCCUGAGCCGAAGGAGAAGUGGCCUCGACCCUGGGGACCCCUUCAGGUGCAGCUUGAGGGGGAACGGCCGCCUUUCCCGUUGGGCACCCAGCUGUGGCUGUGCCCUGUCCUCGCCCAGCUCCCGGCAUAGGCAUGCGCUCUGGGCCGGGGCCGGGGCCCCCCGCCUCCCCGGGAGGAAUCGCUGGGUUGACUCUGGGUCAGCAAAGGGAGCCCGGCCCUUUCUAGCGGGGGGACGUCCUGCAGCCGCUGGAGGAGGCUGAGUCACGCUUUUCCCACCAGAAGUCUACCUGUGCCUGCGCCCGCCGGACCUGCCGGCCUCUUCCUUCUCAUCCAGGGGGCCUCUUCUCCAGCCUCACGGAGGUGGGAAGCUUGCUGGAGGCCCCUACCUGCCUUUUGGGGAAGACCCCGAGGCUGGCCCACGCCCUGCUGGCAGGACCCUUCCUGACUGGGUCCACCGUUCUUCUGGGUCUCACCACUUCUCCCAGCCCCUGGGCUGCUUCCUCUCUCCCGUGUCUGGGACCCCAGAGGCACCACUUCCAUUCCAUACAAGGUAAGAGUCCCAAGGAGAGGCCGGGCACGGUGGCUCACGCCUGUAAUCCCAGCACUUUGGGAGGCCGAGGCGGGCGGAUCACGAGGUCAGGAGUUCCAGACCAUCCUGGCUAACACGGUGAAACCCGUCUCUACUAAAAAUACAAAAAAUUAGCUGGGCCUGGUGGCACGUGCCUGUAGUCCCAGCUACUCGGGAGGCUGAGGCAGGAGAAUUGCUUGAACCGGGGAGGUGGAGGUUGUAGUGAGCAGAGAUCAUGCCACUGCACUGCAGCCUGGGUGAUAAGAGUGAGACUCCAUCUCAACAACAACAAAAAAAGUCUGAUCUCAGCACUGUCCUGCCUAGACUGCUUCUUUUUUUAGGACAAGUUUUUAUUGCUACCUGCUAAAAACGCACUUAUUGUCACGGUGCAGGCUAGGUUGGAGGAGUAAAACUAGAGACAAGAAGAGUUAAGAAGCCACUGCAGUAUUCAAGACAAAUGAGUCAAGCCAAAGGCUGAGAUGCUGUACAGGAAGGUCUCUAGGGGGACCCUAAAUUUAGCUGGGGGUGGUGGUGCAAGAUUCCUACGAAGUGGCACUAAAGGAGGGACUGAGUACUUACUAAAGACCUUAUGACUAAGAGGUCUCUCUCAUCCCUACACUACUUCCUUCACUCCAGUGUCUAGAAUUGGCCUCUGUAUAUAGGAGCUCUUUGGUUGAGCAUGGUUCACACCUGUAAUCCCAGCAGUUUGGGAGGCUGAGGUGGGAGGAUCACUUGAACUCAGGUGUUCAAGACCAACACAGUGAGACCCCAUCGCUAUAAAAUUUUUAAAAAUUUUAGCCAGGCAUGGUGGUGCACGCUUGUAGUCCCAGCUACUUAGGAGGCUGAUGCAGGAGGAUCGCUUGAGCCCAGAAGUUGGAGGCCGCAGUGAGCUAUGAUCACAUCACUACACUCCAGCCUGGGUGACAGGGUAAGAUCCUGUCUCAAAAAGAAAAAAAAAAAAUUAAGCACAAAAAGUUUGGAGACCAGGAAACAGGAGUACAAGUAUAGGUGCUGUCCCACUCUUAGUGAGGUCGGCUGUGAAAUUAAAUCAGUUCCUGGAACAAAUCUUACAAAGAGAUCAGAGAUCACUUGCAGUUUUUUUUUUUUUUUUUUUUUGAGACAGCGUCUCACUCUGUCACCCAGGCUGGAGUGCAGUGGUGCCAUUUUGGCUCACAGCACCCUUCGCCUCCUGGGUUCAGACAAUUCUCCCACCUCAGUCUCCCGAGUAGCUGGGACUACAUGCCUGGCUAAUUUUUGUCUUUUUUGGUAGAGACAGGGUGUCACCAUGUUGGCCAGCCUGGUCAUUAACUUUUUAAAAAAAUGUUUAUUUUCCUGAUAAAGAUUCAGCAUAAAUUUUAGGCAGAAGUCUGACGUCUAGCAGUCCCCCAGAAAGCAUUCUGUUGUCUGUUGGGGCUUCCUUGGGAGAUGGACUGUGGGCUAGGCCUGGGUGCUUUGGCAGAUACAGAGUCAGAGGCUGUGGAAAGGGGAUGGUCCAGACAGGACUAUAAUAAAUGCAGGGAUGGCCGGGCGCGGUGGUUCAUGCCUGUAAUUCCAGCACUUUGGGAGGCCAAGGCAGGUGGGUCACUUGAGGUCAGGAGUUCAAGACCAGCCUGACCAGCAUGGCAAAACCCUGUCUCUCCUAAAAAUACAAAAAUUAGCUGGGCGUGGUGGUGCAUGCUUGUAAUCCCAGCUACUUGGGAGGCUGAGGCAGGAGAAUCACUUGAACCCAGGAGGCAGAGGUUGCAGUGAGCCGAGAUUGCGUCACCGCACUCCAGCCUGGGCAACAGAGGGAGACUGCAUCUCAAAAAAAGAAAAAAAAAAAGAAAUGCAGGGAGAAGUCAAGCUUCUAGCCUCCUUGUCAAAGGAUUUAAAGUAGCAUUAGAUGGUAGAGAGAAACAAAAGAUGACCCAAGUUUCAUUUUCUCAGCUUUCUACUGGAGAGAGGACGUCAUAUAAACCAGAGUGCGAAAAAGGUCAGAAUGGAACCCUGGGGCUGGCUAGCUCAAAUUUGUAUGAGGGAUGAAGGGCAGUCCUCUCUGCUCACACUAAGGCUAAAUGGCCAGGGCCUGCGGAGAAAUCACAUCCUUUGCUGUAGGAGUAGAAGGGAUUCCAUGUGCCUAAGAAAUGUCAGAGAAAAAGGGGAUGUGAGCUCCAUGGAUCCUCUCCAGGCCACCUGGAUCCCUCCUUAUCUUUGUAGGACUCUGCUUACUGCCAGCUGGAAUUGUCAACCAAAGGGCUCUAAGUUGGGAUCUCGGUCCCUUAAGAUGAGGGGAGAUGGCUGGGCGUGGUGGCUCCUGCCUAUAAUCCCAGCACUUUGGGAGGCCGAGGUGGACAGAUCACCUGAGGUCAGGAGUUCGAGACCAGCCUGGCCAACAAUUAAAAUUACAUUUUAAUUUUUUUAAAUAUAAAAAAAUUAGCUGGGCGUGGUAGCACAUGCUUGUAAUCCCAGCUACCCUGGAGGCUGAGGCAGGAGAACUGCUUGAACCUGGGAGGUGGAGGUUGCAGUGAGCCGAGGUCGUGUCACUGCACUCCAGAGCCUGGGCGACAAGGGCAAAACUCAAAAAAAAAAAGAAAAAAGAUGAGACGAGAAAGCUAGGAAGGCCUAAGCACAAACCUCAGCAGGGGGAAUCGCUAUAGAGGAUAAGCCUCCUUGUUCUUAAAGGCUAUUUUUAUUUCAGUUGGCUGUUUGGAGCUGUGUAAAAAAAAUGGAAAACAACAAUAACAACAACAAACAAACAAAAAAACCCUCCAAAGGGCUAUUUCUAAUUCAAAUCCCCGAGGUGUCUAUCUUUCCCCUUCCUUUGGGGGAGGGAGGAGGUGAGACAAGUAAUAACUUAGAGGAACGUUUCCUUCCAUCUUUGCAGGUCUCCUGAUAGCAGGAACCUUGCUGCAUCUCCUACACUUCUCAAGAGCAGAAAUGAGCUCACUGCCCCACACCCAGGAUUCUCAUACCACACUUGAGGACUCUCUGGUUUGGACAGACUAUGAUUAAAUUUAUCACAACUGUUAGUUCUCAUGGUCUGGGAGGCCAUCUCCUCUCCUCAGACCCUGUUACUCCUAGAUCUGUCCUCUCAUUAACUCUGUCAGCACAGGCUGCUCUCUCUUCCAGGACUCCAAGAGCUCCUCAUCACCCUCAUCUGCUGUAACACGGAAAGAACCCACUUACCUGCUUCAAUACUAGGUUUUGCCCCCCAUCCCAUUUUCAAAAAGUCAGGCACAAAGUAAAACCCUAUAUUUAUUAUCCCUCCUAUUUUGAGGCUCCAGCUCUAGCCCCAGACCUUUUUUGAUAGGAGAAGGUAAUACAGUUUAUUUUCUAACUUGUUUCCCCUAGUUUUCUCCUGUCUCGUCACCCGUGUGAUCCACGUGUAUCAGAAGUGAUAGGUGGCUCAAGAUCAUUUUGGUCAGAUUUUAAAAAUAAAAUAUUUUCUCCUUUUAUGUCUAAAAAUAUUACCUUACAGCCUACCGCUCCCAGCUGGAAAAAGAAAAUUGUUUCAUUUCUGUUUUUAUCCUCCCCCUUGGACUUGCUACUCCCAAGGGCCCCAGGAAGAACUAGACUUUGGUUGUACAGAACUGUGCUGUUAAAUAGGAUUUGAUAGCCACUAGCUACAUGUGGCUAAUUAAAAUUAAAUUAAAUACUAUCUUAAAAAUUGAGUUCAUGAGGUGCACUAGCCACAUUUCAAGAGCUCAAGUCAUAUGUAGCUAGUAGUAUCUACUGUAUUAGACAGCAGAUACAGAAUACUUCCAUUGUUACAUGAAGUUCUAUUAGCUUGAAUGUGGAGGACUAGCGUCUUUAGCUUCCUUUCUUAUAACCCCAUUUUACCAGCCAGCAAAUAUUUGCAAUAACUUCACUGUUACAGGAUAAUUUUCAGAGGAGUUAGGAAUUGGGGGUAGGAAGCAGCAUAGAAUCUACAAGUCUUAUAGGAGUUUCAGGAGGCAUGGCAUAGAGGCCAGGGGUUGAUGGUCAAUGGCAAGAGCCUUAGGUUUUAAGAAAGUACUUUAGGGACUGAUGUUAUAUUACCAGGGCCACCUCCACUGUGGACUCAGUGGUUCUGCGUAAUACCUGAAAACAAAAAAUGACAUCCCUACUGCUCUGCUGGAACUGAGUAGCUGAAGUGAUUGUUAUUACUCAAAAUCUCCAGAGCUUGAUUUUGUAAACUGUUUAUCUGUCACGGUUCUUGUUCUCCCAAAUCCAAGUGACAUAAGCAGCGGUAAUGUUUAGAAAAGGUUUGUUGACUUUGCUACCCCACUCCAAGAGCAGGGAGUAGUGGGUGUCAUAUCCACUAAUCCACUGAUACUCAGGGUACUUUUUUUUUUUUUUUUUGAGAUGGAGUUUCAUUCUUGUUGCCCAGGCUGGAGUGCAAUGGUGCGAUCUCGGCUCACUGCAACCUCCUCCUCCCAGGUUCAAGUGAUUCUCCUGCCUCAGCCUCCUGAGUAGCUGGGAUGACAGGCAUGCGCCACCAUGCCUGGCUAAUUUUGUAUUUUUAGCAGAGACAGGGUUUCUCCAUGUUGGUCAGGCUGGUCUGGAACUCCCGACCUCAGGUGAUCUGCCUACCUCGGCCUCCCAAAGUGCUGGGAUUACAGGCAUGAGCCACCGUGCCUGGCCCUCAGGGUACUUUUAAUAAAGUGCUAGCUAGGCAAGCCUAUUCUUCCUCUCAAGAGUAGGUGUUCCACUUUUGAACACCUAUGCCAGGCACCGGCUAUAGUGCCUACAAGAGGAUGAUAUGUGGACAUGACCACUUUCCCUGACUACAUCAGUGGUUCUCAACUGGGGAUGAUUUUGCAAUGUCUGCUUAUGGGACAUUUGGUAAUGUCUAGAGACAUUUGUGGUUGUCACAACUAGUGGAGGGGUACUACCUGCAUGUAGUGGGUAGAGUCCAGAGAUGCUACUAAGUAUCCUAUAAUGCAUAGGACAGCUGCCCACAACAAAGAAUUAUCUCACUCAAAAUGUCAAUAGGGUCGAGGUUGAGAAAUCCUGGUCUAGGCUGGGUGUGGUGGCUCAUGACUGUAAUCCCAGCAUUUUGGGAGGCCAAGGCAGGAGGAUCACUUGAGCCCACCAGGAGUUCAAGACCAGCCUGGGCAAUGUAGGGAGAUCUCCACAAAAAAUAAAAAUAAAUUAGCUGCACUAUAGUCCUUGUUACACAGAAGGCUGACGUGGGAGCAUCACUUGAACGUAGGAAGUGAGUGAGCUGUGAUUGCACUACUGCACUCCAGUCUGGGCAACAGAGUGAGACCCUGGCUCAAACAAAACAAAAACAAAAGCAUUGAAAGAAAGAAAGAGGCCGGGCGCGGUGGCUCACGCCUGUAAUCCCAGCACU
RNAcentral lists this long non-coding RNA (6177 nucleotides) under Homo sapiens (human). RNAcentral's name for it is "HSALNT0331516". Lineage: Eukaryota; Metazoa; Chordata; Mammalia; Primates; Hominidae. The record is from RNAcentral.